CCUACGGGAGGCAGCAGUGAGGAAUAUUGGUCAAUGGACGAGAGUCUGAACCAGCCAAGUAGCGUGAAGGAUGACUGCCCUAUGGGUUGUAAACUUCUUUUAUAUGGGAAUAAAACGUUCCACGUGUGGGAUUUUGUAUGUACCAUAUGAAUAAGGAUCGGCUAACUCCGUGCCAGCCGCCGCGGUAAUACGGAGGAUCCGAGCGUUAUCCGGAUUUAUUGGGUUUAAAGGGAGCGUAGGUGGAUUGUUAAGUCAGUUGUGAAAGUUUGCGGCUCAACCGUAAAAUUGCAAUUGAUACUGGCAGUCUGGAGUACAGUUGAGGUAGGCGGAAUUCGUGGUGUAGCGGUGAAAUGCUUAGAUAUCACGAAGAACCCCGAUUGCGAAGGCAGCUUACUAAACUGUGACUGACAUUGAUGCUCGAAAGUGUGGGUAUCAAACAGGAUUAGAUACCCUAGUAGUC
RNAcentral lists this ribosomal RNA (460 nucleotides) under uncultured bacterium. RNAcentral's name for it is "partial 16S ribosomal RNA". It matches the Rfam family "Bacterial small subunit ribosomal RNA", at positions 338 to 795 of the family's 1533-position model. The record is from RNAcentral.